Long non-coding RNA from Carassius carassius (crucian carp), 469 nucleotides. RefSeq lists it as uncharacterized. The transcript has 4 exons. Lineage: Eukaryota; Metazoa; Chordata; Actinopteri; Cypriniformes; Cyprinidae. The record is from RefSeq and is a predicted model, not a curated record.
AUUUCAAGGCAUCCUCCAUUGUUCUAUGUGUUCGUAGUCUUAAUGUGUGUCUGCUCAGAGAGUGUAUCCUUCGCUCGACUGUCACAAUGACACUCACAGGGGCGCUGAUUUCUCUAAUCUGUCUCUCAAUCCGAGAGAAAAGUACCUGUCAAAGAGCGGCACGCCACUCUCAGAGCGCCGUCCGACACAUCUCAAUGCGUGCCGAGUGGAAGGGCACAUAUCGGUCCUGUGGAGAGGCCACCAACACAACGUUCCUGAAGAACUGCAGACCUGGACAAAGAAAGUAAAAAAACAUGGGGUCACUGCUUGUUGUCACCUAAACAGGGCGUGUCCACGUAUCUGUCCUCAAAGAUGAUUGGCAGGCUGCUCCAGUCUCCGUCGAUGUCCAGGCAUUCCACAGGAAGUGGAGGCAUUUGGAGCAGAAAGAACACCAUAUAGAUUUUGAAGGUCAUUAGGGUGAGUAAAUGAU